Molecule: long non-coding RNA, 350 nt
Organism: Photinus pyralis (common eastern firefly)
Lineage: Eukaryota; Metazoa; Arthropoda; Insecta; Coleoptera; Lampyridae
Exons: 3
Source: RefSeq, a predicted model, not a curated record
GAAAGAUUUGUGGCUUGGUUAAAGGCGUAGGUCGUCUCCGAAGUAGCUGAGGACCAACAUUAAGGGCGUUCGGUCGGAUUGGGGAACAGACCGUAUACUGACCACAUUCCUCAUCCAUGGCCUAGCUCGAUGUUUUAGAGCAAAAUGCAAGUCCUGUCAGGUUUUCAGUGUCACUAUUUAUUUAUUCCAUAAACAAAACAAAAUAAAUUUCGACGGGAUCGAUGCCGGGUCUAUAUAUCUGUCUGGAUUUGGCGGUGCGCCGAGCACCUCGAGCGCAAUCAACUUCCAAUCUGGAACUGGAGAUGGCCGGCUUGUCUUGAUUACACAAUACGUUUAUUUUACAUGUUAUA